CUAGCGGCGAACGGGNGAGNACACGUGAGUAACCUGCCCCCGACUCUGGGAUAAGCCUGAGAAAUUGGGUCUAAUACUGGAUAUGAACAUUUACCGCAUGGUGGGUGUUGGAAAGAUUUUUUGGUUGGGGAUGGACUCGCGGCCUAUCAGCUUGUUGGUGAGGUAGUGGCUCACCAAGGCGACGACGGGUAGCCGGCCUGAGAGGGUGACCGGCCACACUGGGACUGAGACACGGCCCAGACUCCUACNGGAGGCAGCAGUGGGGAAUAUUGCACAAUGGGCGAAAGCCUGAUGCAGCGACGCCGCGUGAGGGAUGACGGCCUUCGGGUUGUAAACCUCUUUCAGUAAGGAAGAAGCGAAAGUGACGGUACUUGCAGAAGAAGCGCCGGCUAACUACGUGCCAGCAGCCGCGGUAAUACGUAGGGCGCGAGCGUUAUCCGGAAUUAUUGGGCGUAAAGAGCUCGUAGGCGGUUUGUCGCGUCUGCCGUGAAAGUCCGGGGCUUAACUCCGGAUCUGCGGUGGGUACGGGCAGGCUAGAGUGCAGUAGGGGAGACUGGAAUUCCUGGUGUAGCGGUGAAAUGCGCAGAUAUCAGGAGGAACACCGAUGGCGAAGGCAGGUCUCUGGGCUGNAACUGACGCUGAGGAGCGAAAGCAUGGGUAGCGAACAGGAUAGA
RNAcentral lists this ribosomal RNA (674 nucleotides) under bacterium L8(2011b). Its description in RNAcentral is "bacterial SSU rRNA". It matches the Rfam family "Bacterial small subunit ribosomal RNA", at positions 92 to 782 of the family's 1533-position model. The record is from RNAcentral.